Molecule: non-coding RNA, 297 nt
Organism: Vicia faba (fava bean)
Lineage: Eukaryota; Viridiplantae; Streptophyta; Magnoliopsida; Fabales; Fabaceae
Source: the annotation of a GenBank genome assembly
AUGGCGUUACGAUCUGGAUCUCUAUCUCGCUCCUUCAUCUCUACAGCCAGAAAUUCCCUCCGCCCGGUCGCUCCUUCUCCCCUUCCCCGCAUCCGUCCACCGCCUCUCGCCGCUCCUCGCAUCCAGUCCCGCCUCUUUUCCAUGCCUGCCACCACUUCCAGGAAUUUGGGGCAAUUGGGUUGCGUACAGUCACUUUUGCCGCUGCAUAGCACGAUGGCGGUAGCUUGUCUUGGUUCUCACAUUGUCGUUAGUGCACGAGCUUGCAGCGAGCUGUCGAAUGGUGAUCCUGAUUCCUGA